Schistosoma rodhaini is the source of this 46-nucleotide non-coding RNA. Lineage: Eukaryota; Metazoa; Platyhelminthes; Trematoda; Strigeidida; Schistosomatidae. The record is from Rfam.
GCACUGGUGAGGUGUCCCACAAUAGGACGAAACGGCCGUUCAGUGC